Molecule: long non-coding RNA, 1703 nt
Filed under: Brassica rapa (field mustard)
Lineage: Eukaryota; Viridiplantae; Streptophyta; Magnoliopsida; Brassicales; Brassicaceae
Description: long non-coding RNA (BRAP_LNC007354)
Source: RNAcentral
GAAUGCUAGGUUUUUUUGUUAUGGAUGAUUUUUGAAUUUAAGAUUAUUAAAAAAAUUAUGGGUUUUCUAUGAUUUAUGGAUUCUUCUUGUUCUAGUAUGACUCGGUAUCUGGGUUUUAUUUAUUCAUCUAUAGAUCUGAAUUCAGUAUGAUUCGGUAUACUAACUCAGUCAAAUUCGGUAUAAUUAACCAAGUCGAACUCGGUAUAACUCAUAAUAACUAGUAUAAUUCGGUACACUAAUUCAGUAGUACUUAGUGUGACACUGUAUAUAACUCAGUAAAACUAUAUCAGUAUAACAUAGUUCGAUCAGUUGUACGUCGAUAAUUAAAAUUUGAAUUUUUAAAAAAUCCAAAAUUUUGAAAAUUUAAAAAUUCAAAAUUUUUUGAUCUGUUCAAAAUAAUUCCAAAAAUACAAAAAGGUAAAACUGGAUAUUCAUAUUUCAUUAAAGGGAAAGAGGCAUAUGCGAUUAGAUAGUACCAUAGACAGUUGUUCCUUGAGAUGCGGAGGAGGCAGAGAAGAUAAUGAUUCAAUAUUUUAGUUUUUUUUUUUCAAUAUUUUUAAUAUUUAGUAAUAUGUCUUUAUGUUUUUUCUCUUGCAUAUGUUUAACGUGAUUUUUUUUAACCAUAGUCUUUUAAAAUAUUGUUUUAUAACGUUGUAAUAUAUUCUUUAAAAAUAGAUAAUAAUAUAAAAUAUGUGUAUUAAUUAAGUAACUUUUUAAAUUUUAAUGAUAAUGUGGAUAUCUAAGAUGAAGUUAAAGUGGUGGAAGUACCAUGGUUUAGAUUUAAAUGCUUUUAUAUUAGGCUUGGGUUAUAUUCUCAGAGGAAACGCAAUUUUUUGCAGAUUAUAGGAUGCAUGUUUUUUGGAAGUUCCAAUGUGUUGUAGGCAGAGCAGUUUGUUGUGGUCGUGUGCUGUGAAAAAACAUGUCCAUUGAGGAUGUCAUAUAUUCUGAACCGUUCGUUGAUCCAAGUGUUAUGAAGAGAAUUACAUCGUAGAAUCGUUGUUCGUGAAAUUGUUCAUCGUGUUCGAAUAUGGUGCAUGUAGUUGAUCAUCAUACGUAAUAGAAUAAAUAUUAUACGAUGAUGUAAUCGAUAAUUCCACCGGGUAUAAAGAAAUGACGAAGAUAAAAUCUCUAAUUAUUUAUAUGAUGAUUCCUCGUGGAUAAAUUUAUAUUAGUCAAGUUUUUGUACUUUUUAUGUUUGUUGGACGAAGUUUUUUCGUAACAUUUGUUGUCUGAAGUUGACUUGAUUAUUUAUCCGAGAUAACUAAUGUGAUGCGCACAUGAUGAUAGAAAGAUAAUCAAUGAGAUGAGCACAUGAUGAUAGAACCAUUAUUACACUGAUACGCAAAUCUUUUGCUUCAAACUUAUAAACACAUAAUAUAUUAUCAUAGAUGCAUAAUAUUUAUUAAAUCUGUAUAAGAUCUUUUUUAAACAACAUAUCAUGCCAAAACAAUAACAAGAGUUGGUAAGUCAAACAAAUGUGACUAUAUUAAACUGAUUUAUUUGGUUGCAUAUGAUUCAACCUAGCUAUAUUAUUGGCUUAUUCCUCAAGUUGGUACAAUGGUAUUAUUUGAUUUCAAAUUUUAUUGUUCAGAACACAUAAUUGUUGUUUAACAUUAAUUUAGCAGUCAACAAUAGUCACAAAGACAAACGAAGAAAAUAAUAUUGUAAAAAAAAAAAACUCGAGGAUGUGUGCCGUAACUGAC